GGUGGUUCUCAGGUGACGCACCCUGGAAUCGGGCUCCCUCCUCUCUGGUUCUGGGUGUGUCACCCGAGAACCACA
Non-coding RNA from Myotis davidii, 75 nucleotides. The record is from Rfam. Lineage: Eukaryota; Metazoa; Chordata; Mammalia; Chiroptera; Vespertilionidae.